This 115-nucleotide non-coding RNA is filed under the name Opisthocomus hoazin. The record is from RNAcentral. Lineage: Eukaryota; Metazoa; Chordata; Aves; Opisthocomiformes; Opisthocomidae.
CGGAAAUAUAGAAGGAGAGCAAGACAGCACUCUCCUUGGUUAAGAUGGAAAAAGUCCUAAUGGAUUUUUAACCAUGUUGAAGUCUUACACUUACUUUGUGGCAUCUAAUGUGUAU